RNAcentral lists this long non-coding RNA (926 nucleotides) under Equus caballus (horse). RNAcentral describes it as "lncRNA (ENSECAG00000057873.1)". Lineage: Eukaryota; Metazoa; Chordata; Mammalia; Perissodactyla; Equidae. The record is from RNAcentral.
CUCACUCCCACUCCCUCCUGAUCCCAAUCCUGAGAUAAAUAACUUAAAGAAAAAUUCUCAAUUGAUUUUGAUGUCAGCCUUUUAUUGUUAGGAGAACUUUCAGCUGCAAGUAACAGAAAACCCAACUACCAAUGGCUUAAGUAAAAAGAGUUUAUUUUCUCACAUAACAAGAAAUAUGUCACAGCUUGUGUUGGUUCAGCAGCUCAAAGGUAUCAGAGCUGACAUUUCUGAAGUUCUCUUGACCUUAUCUUCAUUUUCACAGUACUCCAGGCAUCAAGCUCACGUUCAAGUCGUAAAGUUGCAUUCCCAAGUAUGUGUGUCCCCUUUUCUAGGGAAGCAAGAGUUUCCCAUAUGUCCCCCAGCAGACUUCUGCUUUAGUCUCUUUGGCCAGAAGGAUGUGACAUGACCAUCUGUAGCUGGAAGGGAGACUGGAUAAGUCAGUUUACGUCCUCCAGCUUCUAUGGAAGGGAAAAGAAUAAAAGGAAUAAUACUGUGCCUUGAAAAAUCACUAGCCUGAACAAAUUGAAAAUCUCCUAAAUCCCCUUCAGCUCCAUCAUCAAAUGGUCAUUUGCUCCAGGCAAGAAGACUCAUAGGUAAUGUUUCCUGUCCUUCAUGGAAAAUUAACUCAAAACAGAUCCACACUAAAUGGAAGAGCCACUCUGUGGAAAGAUGAUAUGUGACUAUUGGUCACAGAACCAUUGGUGGUUCAAUGGUUCUGAGGGUAGCACAAAGACAUGUUAUUCCUGAGUUCUGCUGAUGUCUAAAGAUGUUGCCAAUACGCUAAAUGGAAACCAGCCAGAUCAAAUCGUUAUGAACAAAAUAUCACAGAGAGAAAAUUAACUUUUAAAAAAUUUAAUACAAAUAAAUGGUAAUUCCCAAUUUUCUUACCCUUAGGAGCACUUCCAUCUUGAUACUUUAAAAUUUUC